Molecule: long non-coding RNA, 415 nt
Organism: Lathyrus oleraceus (garden pea)
Lineage: Eukaryota; Viridiplantae; Streptophyta; Magnoliopsida; Fabales; Fabaceae
Exons: 2
Source: RefSeq, a predicted model, not a curated record
CAUAUGGGGUGUUGGAACAAUCUGUUUGGGCCUCAGCUCAAACCUAAUCCAAGCUACUAACAAAUGAAGAGAAUGUUUAGCUGAGUUGCAGCAAGCAAAAGAGGAAAGGAAAAAACGCUUCUCUGUUUAUAAGCUUCAAAAACAACUAAAAAACUAUGAAUUGAAUAUUGAUUUCGACGCGACAACGAAAACAGGCAAAUCAAAUGGAGCAACAUGGCAUGAAUAUGAUGGAUGAAGAAGGAUGAAAUUUUAGGAUUGCUAGAUCAUGUUGACUUUGGUCAACAGUUGACCAAAAAGUCAAUUGUUGACCAAAAAGUCAACAUUACCAAAAAUGUUCUCUUUUAUAAAUAUGUUUUAUAGAAAUGUAAAUUGAAAUAUAAAUGUAAUAAAUUUGCAAUAAAAGUUGAUUCUUAAA